AGAGUUUGAUCAUGGCUCAGAAUCAACGCUGGCGGCGUGCCUAACACAUGCAAGUCGAACGCGAAAGGGGCUUCGGCCCUGAGUAGAGUGGCAAACGGGUGAGUAACGCGUGGGUGACCUACCCUCGAGUGGGGGAUAACGUUCCGAAAGGGACGCUAAUACCGCAUAAUAUCCUGCUCCUGAACAGGUGACGAUCAAAGCCGGGGACCGCAAGGCCUGGCGCCUGAGGAGGGGCCCGCGUCCGAUUAGCUAGUUGGUGGGGUAAUGGCCUACCAAGGCGACGAUCGGUAGCCGGCCUGAGAGGGCGGACGGCCACACUGGGACUGAGACACGGCCCAGACUCCUACGGGAGGCAGCAGUGGGGAAUUGUUCGCAAUGGGCGCAAGCCUGACGACGCAACGCCGCGUGGAGGAUGAAGGUCUUCGGAUUGUAAACUCCUGUUGACCGGGAAGAAUGCCUUCGGGAUUAACACUCCCGGAGGGUGACGGUACCGGUUGAGGAAGCCCCGGCUAACUCUGUGCCAGCAGCCGCGGUAAUACAGAGGGGGCAAGCGUUGUUCGGAAUUACUGGGCGUAAAGGGCGCGUAGGCGGCCAACUAAGUCGGACGUGAAAUCCCCAGGCUCAACCUGGGAACUGCGUCCGAUACUGGAUGGCUUGAAUCCGGGAGAGGGAUGUGGAAAUUCCAGGUGUAGCGGUGAAAUGCGUA
This 706-nucleotide ribosomal RNA is filed under the name uncultured bacterium. Its description in RNAcentral is "bacterial SSU rRNA". It matches the Rfam family "Bacterial small subunit ribosomal RNA", at positions 8 to 692 of the family's 1533-position model. The record is from RNAcentral.